CUGAUUGGCUUUGUUCAUCCGUCACUCACCGUUAGGCUUCACGGACUCUGCAUAAGGGAGGAGCUUCGGGUCUGGGUCUGAGAGACCGUCUCCAGAAGAAAUGCCACGGUACGAUUAGUGGAAACAACGCGGCAGGGAGCGGAGCGUACCAGCGGCAAGGUAAGGCGGGCACUUCCGCCAGGAUAGCCCAAUGACAGAGGUGGGACAGUUUCUAUAAAAGCUUGAGCCUCGCCCGCCCCUGUCUUUUCGAGGUCGAGUCCGAAGCGGAAGAGGUUUGUUAAUAUGUUUGCCAUGUGCUACGCUCUUGGGACGAACUGAGCCACGAGCGUGGCUUUGAGGGCCGUCCGAACGCUGCAGGCCGGCCAGGUCCCUGGGCGUCCAGGCCUGGCCUACGCUCCACUUUGUCCCUUAGCGUUUAAAGGUUUCUUCCCGAAUCUCAGGCCCUCAGCUACCUGCAGGUUUCGUCGCGAGCCGGCUGCAAGUUUUGAACCUAAGUAAACCUCAAUCCGGAGGGCCUAGCGGUAAGGUGGGCGCUGUGUCUAUUGAAGUGCUUAGCAAUAAAGCAAAGGUAGUGAGUUGA
Pan troglodytes (chimpanzee) is the source of this 580-nucleotide long non-coding RNA. RefSeq lists it as uncharacterized. Lineage: Eukaryota; Metazoa; Chordata; Mammalia; Primates; Hominidae. The record is from RefSeq and is a predicted model, not a curated record. The transcript has 2 exons.